UGGGGGAUAUUGCACAAUGGGCGCAAGCCUGAUGCAGCGACGCCGCGUGGGGGAUGAAGGCCUUCGGGUUGUAAACUUCUUUUGCUCUGAACAAGGCGCACUUUGGGGUGUGUUGAGUGUAGGGGUUGAUUAGCGCCGGCUAACUACGUGCCAGCAGCCGCGGUAAUACGUAGGGCGCGAGCGUUGUCCGGAAUUAUUGGGCGUAAAGGGCUUGUAGGUGGCUGGUUGCGUCUGUCGUGAAAGCUCAUGGCUUAACUGUUGGUUUGCGGUGGGUACGGGCUGGCUUGAGUGCAGUAGGGGAGGGUGGAAUUCCUGGUGUAGCGGUGGAAUGCGCAGAUAUCAGGAGGAAUACCGGUGGCGAAGGCGGGUCUCUGGGCUGUUACUGACACUGAGGAGCGAAAGCAUGGGGAGCGAACAGG
Molecule: ribosomal RNA, 419 nt
Filed under: bacterium
Lineage: Bacteria
Description: partial 16S ribosomal RNA
Rfam family: Bacterial small subunit ribosomal RNA
Source: RNAcentral